Apodemus sylvaticus (European woodmouse) is the source of this 130-nucleotide small nucleolar RNA. RefSeq annotates it as small nucleolar RNA SNORA17. The record is from RefSeq and is a predicted model, not a curated record. NCBI's taxonomy places the organism in Eukaryota, Metazoa, Chordata, Mammalia, Rodentia, Muridae. The transcript has a single exon.
CCUGCCCCUAGAAGUGUUACAGGGGUGGGUGCUGUGUCACAUGUGUGUUAGGAGAUGGCAGAGAGAAAAGAGUUUUCCUACAUUCAGUGUCCUAACCUAAGAAUGGCUAAAUGAUUAGUAACCUAAUAUU